This 1070-nucleotide ribosomal RNA is filed under the name uncultured bacterium. RNAcentral describes it as "bacterial SSU rRNA". It matches the Rfam family "Bacterial small subunit ribosomal RNA", at positions 28 to 1068 of the family's 1533-position model. The record is from RNAcentral.
AAUGAACGCUGGCGGCGUGCUUAACACAUGCAAGUCGAACGAGAAAGCCUGCUUUCGGGCGGGCGAGUAUAGUGGCGCACGGGUGAGUAACGCGUAGGUAACCUAUCCUUGGUUUCGGGAUAACAGUUCGAAAGGGCUGCUAAUACCGGAUGAGACCCUUUUGCGAGAGUUUGAGGGUGAAAGUCAGCCACUCGAAGAAGCUGAUGACCGAGGCUGGGCCUGCGUCCUAUCAGCUAGUUGGUAGGGUAACGGCCUACCAAGGCGACGACGGGUAGCUGGUCUGAGAGGAUGAUCAGCCACACUGGCACUGGAACACGGGCCAGACUCCUACGGGAGGCAGCAGUGAGGAAUUUUGCGCAAUGGGAGCAAUCCUGACGCAGCAACGCCGCGUGGGUGAAGAAGGCCUUCGGGUCGUAAAGCCCUGUCAGGUGGGAAGAAUGGAUAAGGGAUGAAUAAGCCUUUAUUGUGACGGUACCACCAGAGGAAGCACCCGGCUAACUUCCGUGCCAGCAGCCGCGGUAAUACGGAGGGUGCGAGCGUUAUUCGGAAUUACUGGGCGUAAAGCGCGUGUAGGCGGGAAGAUAAGUCUGAUGUGAAAGCCCCGGGCUUAACCUGGGAAGUGCAUUGGAAACUGUUUUUCUUGAGUACUGGAGAGGAAGGGAGAAUUCCCGGUGUAGAGGUGAAAUUCGUAGAGAUCGGGAGGAACAUCAGUGGCGAAGGCGCCCUUCUGGACAGUUACUGACGCUGAGACGCGAAAGCGUGGGGAGCAAACAGGAUUAGAUACCCUGAUAGUCCACGCUGUAAACGAUGAUCACUAGGUGUAGCGGGUACUCAUUCCUGCUGUGCCGUAGCUAACGCGUUAAGUGAUCCGCCUGGGGACUACGGUCGCAAGACUAAAACUCAAAGGAAUUGACGGGGGCCCGCACAAGCGGUGGAGUAUGUGGUUUAAUUCGACGCAACGCGAAGAACCUUACCUGGGCUUGACAUCCCCGGACCGUCAUGGAAACAUGGCUUUCCCUUUCGGGGGACCGGGAGACAGGUGCUGCAUGGCUGUCGUCAGCUCGUGUCGU